UCCUACGGGGGGCAGCAGUAGGGAAUCUUCCACAAUGGGCGAAAGCCUGAUGGAGCAACGCCGCGUGGGUGAAGAAGGUCUUCGGAUCGUAAAACCCUGUUGUUAGAGAAGAAAGUGCGUGAGAGUAACUGUUCACGUUUCGACGGUAUCUAACCAGAAAGCCACGGCUAACUACGCGCCAGCAGCCGCGGUAAUACGUAGGUGGCAAGCGUUAUCCGGAUUUAUUGGGCGUAAAGGGAACGCAGUCGGACUUUUAAGUCUGAUGUGAAAUCCUUCGGGUUAACCGGAG
RNAcentral lists this ribosomal RNA (289 nucleotides) under uncultured bacterium. RNAcentral's name for it is "partial 16S ribosomal RNA". It matches the Rfam family "Bacterial small subunit ribosomal RNA", at positions 337 to 618 of the family's 1533-position model. The record is from RNAcentral.